GACGAACGCUGGCGGCGUGCUUAACACAUGCAAGUCGAACGGAAAGACCCUGCUUUUGUGGGGUGCUCGAGUGGCGAACGGGUGAGUAACACGUGAGUAACCUGCCCUUGACUUUGGGAUAACUUCAGGAAACUGGGGCUAAUACCGGAUAGGAGCUCCUGCUGCAUGGUGGGGGUUGGAAAGUUUCGGCGGUUGGGGAUGGACUCGCGGCUUAUCAGCUUGUUGGUGGGGUAGUGGCUUACCAAGGCUUUGACGGGUAGCCGGCCUGAGAGGGUGACCGGCCACAUUGGGACUGAGAUACGGCCCAGACUCCUACGGGAGGCAGCAGUGGGGAAUAUUGCACAAUGGGCGGAAGCCUGAUACAGCAACGCCGCGUGCGGGAUGACGGCCUUCGGGUUGUAAACCGCUUUCGCCUGUGACGAGGCGUGAGUGACGGUAAUGGGUAAAGAAGCACCGGCUAACUACGUG
This 468-nucleotide ribosomal RNA is filed under the name uncultured bacterium. Its description in RNAcentral is "partial 16S ribosomal RNA". It matches the Rfam family "Bacterial small subunit ribosomal RNA", at positions 28 to 507 of the family's 1533-position model. The record is from RNAcentral.